GGCACCAUAGCCAAGCGGUAAGGCAGAGGUCUGCAAAACCUUUAUGCCCCGGUUCAAAUCCGGGUGGUGCCUCCA
RNAcentral lists this transfer RNA (75 nucleotides) under Oscillospiraceae bacterium. Its description in RNAcentral is "tRNA-Cys". It matches the Rfam family "tRNA". Rfam says of the family: Transfer RNA (tRNA) molecules are approximately 80 nucleotides in length. Their secondary structure includes four short double-helical elements and three loops (D, anti-codon, and T loops). Further hydrogen bonds mediate the characteristic L-shaped molecular structure. tRNAs have two regions of fundamental functional importance: the anti-codon, which is responsible for specific mRNA codon recognition, and the 3' end, to which the tRNAs corresponding amino acid is attached (by aminoacyl-tRNA synthetases). tRNAs cope with the degeneracy of the genetic code in two manners: having more than one tRNA (with a specific anti-codon) for a particular amino acid; and 'wobble' base-pairing, i.e. permitting non-standard base-pairing at the 3rd anti-codon position. RNAcentral also lists the same sequence under 2 other names. The record is from RNAcentral. Lineage: Bacteria; Bacillati; Bacillota; Clostridia; Eubacteriales; Oscillospiraceae.